CGUGAGUGGCGGACGGGUGAGUAACGCGUGGGUAACCUGCCUCAUACAGGGGAGUAACAGUUAGAAAUGACUGCUAAUACCGCAUAAGACCACAGUACCGCAUGGUACAGGGGUAAAAACUCCGGUGGUAUGAGAUGGACCCGCGUCUGAUUAGGUAGUUGGUGGGGUAACGGCCUACCAAGCCGACGAUCAGUAGCCGGCUUGAGAGAGUGAACGGCCGCAUUGGGACUGAGACACGGCCCAA
RNAcentral lists this ribosomal RNA (244 nucleotides) under uncultured bacterium. RNAcentral's name for it is "partial 16S ribosomal RNA". It matches the Rfam family "Bacterial small subunit ribosomal RNA", at positions 90 to 334 of the family's 1533-position model. The record is from RNAcentral.